UACGUAGGGUGCAAGCAUUAAUCGGAAUUAUUGGGCGUAAAGGGCGCGUAGGCGGGAUGGUAAGUCGUAUGUGAAAUUCCGGGGCUCAACCUCGGAGCUGCAUAGGAAACUACCAAUCUAGAGGGUAGGCGGAGAAAACAGAAUUCCACAAGUAGCGGUGAAAUGCGUAGAUAUGUGGAAGAAUACCGGUGGCGAAGGCGGUUUUCUAGCUUAUUCCUGACGCUGAGGCGCGAAAGCAAGGGGAUCAAACAGG
This 253-nucleotide ribosomal RNA is filed under the name uncultured bacterium. RNAcentral's name for it is "partial 16S ribosomal RNA". It matches the Rfam family "Bacterial small subunit ribosomal RNA", at positions 524 to 776 of the family's 1533-position model. The record is from RNAcentral.